UGAAUUGCAGAACUCCGUGAACCAAUGGCCUCUUGAACGUGCAUUGCGCUCUUGGGAUAUGCCUGAGAGCAUGUCUGCUUUCAGUGCUUCUACUUUCAUUUUCUGCUGCUCUUGUUAUCGGGAGCAGUGUUGCUGCAUGCUUCUGCAAAAGGCACUGGCAUGCUAAGUAUCAAGUUUUGCUUGCUGUUCUGACUGAUCAACAUCUCAUGUCGUUUCAGUUGGCGAAACAAAAGCUGAAGUGUGUUCUUAACACUUCCUAGCAUGAAGUCAGACAAGUGAACCCGCUGAACUUAAGCAUAUGGAUCCCCCCA
Molecule: ribosomal RNA, 311 nt
Filed under: Symbiodinium sp. clade A
Lineage: Eukaryota; Dinophyceae; Suessiales; Symbiodiniaceae
Description: eukaryotic LSU rRNA
Rfam family: 5.8S ribosomal RNA (bases 1-89)
Source: RNAcentral